AGGCCUACCACUGCAGUCGAGCGCCCCGCAGGGGGAGCGGAAGACGGGUGAGUAACUUCUGGGAACGUGCCAAUCGGUUCGGAAUAGCCCGGGGAAACUCGGAGUAAUACCGAAUACGCCCGCAAGGAGAAAGAUUUAUCGCCGAAGGAUCGGCCCGCGUCUGAUUAGCUUGUUGGUGAGGUAACGGCUCACCAAGGCGACGAUCAGUAGCUGGUCUGAGAGGAUGAUCAGCCUCACUGGGACUGAGACACGGCCCAGACUCCUACGGGAGGCAGCAGUGGG
Molecule: ribosomal RNA, 282 nt
Filed under: uncultured Pseudomonadota bacterium
Lineage: Bacteria; Pseudomonadati; Pseudomonadota
Description: uncultured proteobacterium partial 16S ribosomal RNA
Rfam family: Bacterial small subunit ribosomal RNA
Source: RNAcentral